CUGGCCACCCUCUCGUUGGGUUAUCGACAUGGGCUCACCAUGAAGGCCUCGGCCCAUAUCAUAACCAGAUGUGGAUGGACACCUACAACUACCCAGGAGGAGACGUAAGGAAUAGGCAUCCAAGUUGGAUCAGGCGAAACGGCGGCCGCUCCUUCCUCCGACCUCAGCUCUUCCUUCCCAUCCCCAUUCAUGCUGUUCAUCUUGUAUUCAGAUUGUCUACCAAAUUCCUGUAAUAGUUGCUAGAUUGAGGGAAUUAAGAUCGAGUAGCUGUUAACAUCUGACAAUCAUAAUGCCUGACUUGUGUUUCUUGAAGAUAGUAUGGACCAAAUCAACUCCCUUCAAUUUGCUGCGCAAGGGCGCAUCCUCGAGGAAGCGGGCAGCUGCUGCUCCAUCUGCGACACUCCCCUGGAACCUCCAGCUCACAUCAUGUUCGAGUGCAACUUCGCUCGCUGCUUCUGGUCCAUGCUCGGCCCGACGCCGGCCGACACCACUCGCCCCGUGUCCGCGGCAUCCACCUGCCCCCUCCCGCCUUCCGCCCCUCGCCGCACUGUGUCGAUGCUCUGAUUACUCUGCCUAUGGCACUUCUGGAAGCAUAGGAACAGGGUCGUCUUCAACGGUGAUCACUCAAAAAAAUUAACAUAGUUUCGAAGAGUCGUCAUCUUUUGUCAUACAAAAAUUUGCCAGGAAUAGUUGUAUGGAAUAUGUAAUUUAUGCUGAACUGUCGUGAAUUAUGCGACUAAAACUCUUGCCUUAUGGAUGCUGAUAACUGUUGGAUGUUGACUUUACAAAGUUAUGUUCAUCUAUUGCCAUAAAAAUUGAAUCUUUUGUAGUUUA
Long non-coding RNA from Lolium perenne, 834 nucleotides. RefSeq lists it as uncharacterized. The record is from RefSeq and is a predicted model, not a curated record. NCBI's taxonomy places the organism in Eukaryota, Viridiplantae, Streptophyta, Magnoliopsida, Poales, Poaceae.